Molecule: non-coding RNA, 508 nt
Organism: Ictidomys tridecemlineatus (thirteen-lined ground squirrel)
Lineage: Eukaryota; Metazoa; Chordata; Mammalia; Rodentia; Sciuridae
Source: RefSeq, a predicted model, not a curated record
GUUGUUUCUGAUGGAACAGUCUGAACAGCCUUUCUUUCACCCAAAGGAUCAAGACAAGGCUGGCAGCCACUGGAACCCUGAAGCCACCUGGAAAGACAAUUCUGCAGUGCUGGACAGUACCCCAGCUCUGGGAAGUAAGACUCCUCUGGGCCUCCAAGUGCCACACACUGCUGCUUGGCCUUGAUGGCCACUUAGAGUUACAAUGUCUACAAAGUAGUUACUUCCUGCAGUAAAACACAAGCUAGGUACUGUGGGGUAUAAGACUGAUCAUCAUGCAAGAUGAAUUCUAAAGGACCUGCUGAUCCUGUUCAGGUGAAGAAAAGUCACCAACUGGACUCAGGAUACCUGUUUGACCAACCUUUGCUUAUGUUUCUAUCUUCAAUCAAAAGUGAAUUUUUACUGCAGAGACACAGAUACACACAUAUGCCUCUCUAAUGUCACACAGGGUAGAAUGGGAGGUACUAAUUCUAAAAUUUCCUCUAAUAGGUAAUAAAGCAAAUUCAUUUUA